CGUCAAAGCCAGUAUUAAUUUUCCAAAACAAAAGAGAAAUUUUAGAAAUUUCGGAGUUAAAAUGAAACUUAUUGAAGAUUGGAUUAUAGAAUAAGUUUGCCAACCGAAAUCAGCUUCUAGUGCAGAAAAUACCUACUGAAUUUUUAGAAAUGAUCAAGAAAUAACUCAUAUGCGCCGAGUUUGAAUCAAAUGUUUCUGAACAAAAAAUUAAAAUUAAGCAUUCUCAUUUUAAAGACUAAAGAUUGUUUACGGAACUGGCAGCCGCUUUAAAAGGCAAUAAGAAUAAUGGAAAAGUGCGAAAAAUCAGCAGUGCGAUCGAUAGCAGGUCCAUGAUCUUUACUUCAUUCCUCCAGCAAUUAAUAAAUUAACGAUUCAAAAUGUUAUGUAGUAUUUUUUAUACGAAGAAGUUCCCAGCAAAGUCAUCAUAGAAAUAAAAUUGUAGCAUUGAAUAAGGAAUCCAGGU
Uranotaenia lowii is the source of this 463-nucleotide long non-coding RNA. RefSeq lists it as uncharacterized. The record is from RefSeq and is a predicted model, not a curated record. The transcript is spliced from 3 exons. NCBI's taxonomy places the organism in Eukaryota, Metazoa, Arthropoda, Insecta, Diptera, Culicidae.